AGCCAAGCUUGCUUGGUGGAUCAGUGGCGAACGGGUGAGUAACACGUGAGCAACCUGCCCUGGACUCUGGGAUAAGCGCUGGAAACGGCGUCUAAUACUGGAUAUGAGACGUGAUCGCAUGGUCGUGUUUGGAAAGAUUUUUCGGUCUGGGAUGGGCUCGCGGCCUAUCAGCUUGUUGGUGAGGUAAUGGCUCACCAAGGCGUCGACGGGUAGCCGGCCUGAGAGGGUGACCGGCCACACUGGGACUGAGACACGGCCCAGACUCCUACGGGAGGCAGCAGUGGGGAAUAUUGCACAAUGGGCGAAAGCCUGAUGCAGCAACGCCGCGUGAGGGAUGACGGCCUUCGGGUUGUAAACCUCUUUUAGCAGGGAAGAAGCGAAAGUGACGGUACCUGCAGAAAAAGCGCCGGCUAACUACGUGCCAGCAGCCGCGGUAAUACGUAGGGCGCAAGCGUUAUCCGGAAUUAUUGGGCGUAAAGAGCUCGUAGGCGGUUUGUCGCGUCUGCUGUGAAAUCCCGAGGCUCAACCUCGGGCCUGCAGUGGGUACGGGCAGACUAGAGUGCGGUAGGGGAGAUUGGAAUUCCUGGUGUAGCGGUGGAAUGCGCAGAUAUCAGGAGGAACACCGAUGGCGAAGGCAGAUCUCUGGGCCGUAACUGACGCUGAGGAGCGAAAGGGUGGGGAGCAAACAGGCUUAGAUACCCUGGUAGUCCACCCCGUAAACGUUGGGAACUAGUUGUGGGGACCAUUCCACGGUUUCCGUGACGCAGCUAACGCAUUAAGUUCCCCGCCUGGGGAGUACGGCCGCAAGGCUAAAACUCAAAGGAAUUGACGGGGACCCGCACAAGCGGCGGAGCAUGCGGAUUAAUUCGAUGCAACGCGAAGAACCUUACCAAGGCUUGACAUAUACGAGAACGGGCCAGAAAUGGUCAACUCUUUGGACACUCGUAAACAGGUGGUGCAUGGUUGUCGUCAGCUCGUGUCGUGAGAUGUUGGGUUAAGUCCCGCAACGAGCGCAACCCUCGUUCUAUGUUGCCAGCACGUAAUGGUGGGAACUCAUGGGAUACUGCCGGGGUCAACUCGGAGGAAGGUGGGGAUGACGUCAAAUCAUCAUGCCCCUUAUGUCUUGGGCUUNCACGCAUGCUACAAUGGCCGGUACAAAGGGCUGCAAUACCGUGAGGUGGAGCGAAUCCCAAAAAGCCGGUCCCAGUUCGGAUUGAGGUCUGCAACUCGACCUCAUGAAG
RNAcentral lists this ribosomal RNA (1241 nucleotides) under Microbacterium testaceum. RNAcentral's name for it is "bacterial SSU rRNA". It matches the Rfam family "Bacterial small subunit ribosomal RNA", at positions 72 to 1325 of the family's 1533-position model. Lineage: Bacteria; Bacillati; Actinomycetota; Actinomycetes; Micrococcales; Microbacteriaceae. The record is from RNAcentral.